UGAAGUUGAACGUGAAAUGCAUGAAAUGUGGAAAAUUACAUAAGCUUUUGCUAGCUUUCAUAAUAAGGUCUUAAAAUUGUCAUAGCUACUAUAUUAUAAAAAACUUUUGAUGAAAACGAUAGGGACUUUGUGUUCCUAUCACCUAAAUGUUAAUACAUUACCAAAAUGUAUUUAUUUAUUUAUAUUGGCUCAGUUUAAAAAAAAAAAAAAAAGUGUAUGUCACACAUCCUUUCAUUAUAACAUAACAUUGUUUCCUCCUUAAAUGGGUAGUUAACAUCUUCAGUAUUACAGAAAUGUAUCAUGUGUUGGGCUGAUGUUUUUAAUUUAUGGCAAGAAACAUUGCCCAAUAUGCAACGACUAUACCCCAUGCUUCCAGCGAGAGCCAAACAGUACGCACAAUAGUCAGGGCCACAUUAAGACCUCACUGGGCCCCAGGGCUAGGGCUUACUGCAGCCCCCGUAUAUAUUGUAGUCAAUGGGGACCAGAAACUUUCUGGUUACAAACUGUCUUCAAAAUAUCUUCUUUUAUCUUGAGGAGAACAUAAAAAUUCAUACAGGUUUAAAACAACUUGAGACUGAGUAAAUGAUGACAGUAGGUGGCUGAACUAUCCCUUUAAGAUCUUAUCUAUGCCAGGAUCACAUAUAGCCUACUACUACUCAUGUUAUCUUUAACUACUAACGUUCAUUUAAGACACAAAUGACUGUUUAUGAGUAUACUCGCAAAGAUGGGCAUUUUGGUGCACAACUAUGUGUAUUUGAACGUUUAAGCACAAGGUGCAAAAAAUAACUAUCAGGGUGAAACCGUCUUAUCGCGCGCGCUGCGCUACCAAAAUGAAUUCUGCUCCUCUGCUUAAUGUCCCUGAACAGUGUAAAAUGUUAAAGGAUAAGCUUACAUCAUGACACACAAAAUGACUGACAUAUUUCUACCAAGUUAUCUCCCAACCCUUGAGUGAAUAUGUAGGCCCAAUCCCAAUUUUUCCCCUUAGCCCUUCCCCUUUCCCCUACCCCUCCGGCCAGACAGCCCUUCAAAUGAAGAUUUUUCAGGACCACACUCCAAACGAAGGGGUAUGAAUUAUCUUGGCAACAUGGCUGCCUGAGCGAACAAAAAGACACAUAAAUGUAAGAAAAAUUUUGCCAUUAAUAAAGAUUUUAACGAAAAGUAAUCAUUUGUUUUAUGUUACAUUCAAUCGUGAGUUCAUAUUAACGGUCAUGUUACUCAGAGAAAUGUUUGCAAAACAUCGCAAAUAUUGGCUAACGUCAUAUCAUUAUAGAAUGUACAAUAGUACCACAACAUAUUUUCUUGUCUGAUCAGGGCGAUAACCACAGUAGACAUUGAGGGGGCUAGUCCCCCCAAUAAUUAGAAAUCGCUAAACCCUGUUCUCAAAUAUUGAGAGAGAGAGAGAGAGAGAGAGAGAGAUGGAAUUUGCAUGUAUGCGUGUCUGUGUGUUUCUCUUUUUAGAGUGAGUUUACUUAAAAACAGUGAUUUUAUCCUCUUGUUGCUGGAAAAUAUAAUGUAGCGAUUCCGUAUUUAAGCUGUAUUUAAUAAAAGUCGUGGGGCAGUGUUGACAAGUUUCUUUUCUCCUAGAUGUGUGAGCUGCGCGAUUUCCGAAAUGUGUGUGUCAGUAAGCAGCGCAUUAAUACAGAACGGUAAUUAAAGGCUCUAAUGCACACCAGCACACCAGUAUAUGUGUGUAUUGUAGGAGCUAGACUACGUAUGACGACGUCCGACGGCAUAGUAGUGGUGUCCCAAUUCUUAGGGGAAUAUUUUUACCCCUAACCCUUAACACUCAGUUUCAAGGGACAAGGGGAAGGGGUAGGCAGAGGGGUAGGGGAAGGGGAAGGGGUAUAAAAUAGAAUUGGAAUUUGGCCGGAUAGUUUGUUCAAACACAAAACUCAAUAGGCCUAUACAUCCAUCAAGUUAAUAGUCAAACUAACCUAAAAUCUUGAUUGUUGAAUAUAUAUCCGUAGGUGAAAAUAUGAUCUAUAUAAAUGAUUUAUAAAUAAAUCUUAAUCUGUAUUGUAUGAACAAAAUUUAUAACAUAUUUAUAACCCUUAAGAUCCAUAAAGUACAUACAUUUGCUACAGACAAAAUACAUAGCCUACAAUUAUUACACGGCUCUGUGGAAUACUUGAUUCUGAUUGGUCAAUCGCGCCAUCCAGUGGUUUGUUAUUCCAAGAUAACAACUACCAUAUUGACCCUGCGUUCCAUUCGGAAGGGCUCAUCUCUAUGCCCUAAUCCCUUCAAAGGGUUUACCCUCUGGAGUGAGAGCUUUGGAGGGUUGAAGGGUUGUGUUGGACCAAACAACUGUUUCUUAAAGUGCCCUUCUGCGUCAUCAUCACGUGCCCACAUGUACCCACCGUCAUCAUGGAAAGAAUCUGCGCAAAGGAUCAUGGGAGGCCGAAUUGUCCAUCAGUUGUAUUCUUCAAAAUCCUUCAUUCCGAAGGGCCCUUUGAAGUGGGCCAUUUUGAGCACUUUGGUUUAGAACGACCCUUCAAUAUGGCGGCCAAGAUUGUUUUCAUGAAGUGCCCUUCAGAGGCCGAAAUGUCCCGUUUGGAACGCACUGACAAUAACACACCGCUUAUCUGGGUUCUACGAGUUAUCUUGACCGGUACUACUUAUGCUUAAUGAGUCACUCCGCUAUCAUUGACUGUCUGGCACCAUCUUGUAACUGUAAAAAACGUAACCACCGCGUGUUACAAUGGAAGACAUUAAUUUCAACAUAUAUGGUAAAAACAAAUAUUUUUAGCCGUGUAAUAAGCGGCCUGUCUCAGAAUAAACCCCUUCAGGCUGAUACAAGACCCCUCCGCUUCGCGUCGGUGUCCUGAUCACCCUGUCGGGUUUAUUCUGAAAUGACAACUGGCUGGAUGUACAUUAUCCCUUAUUUAUAAAGUAUGAGGGAAAAAAUGUUCAAACAAACAAAAUGCAACAGUGUGCAGCUGUGGCACAGGCCUAAUAAACUGCAACCCUCCAUGACUCUCCUUUCCCUCAACUAUAAUGAACAGCCCUCAUUAUAGCCUGUCCCUCUUCCCCUAUAAUAAACCAUCCAUAAAAAGUUUUUCAGAAUAGCAAAACCACACAGAAAUAAAACGGAUCCUAUCAAAACAAUCUAAUGGUGCGAACAACCUUGUAAAUCUUUACAGGAAUGGACUGUUUUAACUUGGC
This is a long non-coding RNA of Cyprinus carpio carpio, 3162 nucleotides long. NCBI's taxonomy places the organism in Eukaryota, Metazoa, Chordata, Actinopteri, Cypriniformes, Cyprinidae. The record is from Ensembl.